UCAAUAAUUUGUGGAACACGUAUUUAAGACUUAGUGGAAACUGCUGAAAUGCAGCUUCACAGCUGUCCGUCGUGAAGCACGGGGGCUUAGGUGCUGGGCAGCGUUAGGGCUGUUGGUGACGCACAGCCGACACCCAGGGAACACGCAGCUGCCAGCUGUUGGAAUGAGGCACAAGCAUGUUUCUGUUUGAGAAACAUGUGCUGGAAGGAACCGCUUGAGAGAUGUAUUUCAUCAGAGGAGACAGCAGACUCUCACUGAAAGAAGAAGCUAAUUCAGCAACUGUUUGCUGAGGAAUUCUAACAGUAAGUACUCCUACAAUUCUUCAUAAUUUAUUUCAUUUUUCUAAU
This 347-nucleotide long non-coding RNA is filed under the name Numida meleagris (helmeted guineafowl). RNAcentral describes it as "lncRNA (ENSNMEG00000001615.1)". Lineage: Eukaryota; Metazoa; Chordata; Aves; Galliformes; Numididae. The record is from RNAcentral.